This is a long non-coding RNA of Sorex araneus (European shrew), 502 nucleotides long. RefSeq lists it as uncharacterized. The record is from RefSeq and is a predicted model, not a curated record. NCBI's taxonomy places the organism in Eukaryota, Metazoa, Chordata, Mammalia, Eulipotyphla, Soricidae. The transcript has 4 exons.
CAGUACUCAGGACUUCUUCCUGGCUCUUUGCUGAAAGAUCAUAACUGGCAGUGCUCAGGAGCUAUGUGGGAUGCUGGUGUUCAAAGCCAGGGGAAGUGCUGAACUUGGCAGUGCUCAAGAUUUACCCUUUGUUCUUUACUCACAGAUCACUACUAACUGGGUUGGGAGGACCAUAGGCAGUGCUGAGGAUUGAACCUAGCACUAUUCACAAUAGCCAGUAUCUGGAAUAAACCUGAGUUACCCGAGAACAGAAGACUGGUUAAAGAAACUUUGAGUUUCGUUGAGAACUUAGAAAAACGGAUUCAAGCAUUCAGAAUUAAAAGUGAACUGGAAGAAAUUGUUAGCUGAAAAAUUCAGAUUUCAACCAACCCCAAAAUAGUAAGCACAGAAACUGUUCCCUCACUAAUAAGGAAGAAAAAAGAAAAAAAAACAGGAGAAAACAAACUAAUGGUUCAACAAAGACAUUUUUCAUAUCCAUGAUGUUCUUUUUGUGGGAAAUUUC